This 254-nucleotide ribosomal RNA is filed under the name uncultured prokaryote. Its description in RNAcentral is "partial 16S ribosomal RNA". It matches the Rfam family "Bacterial small subunit ribosomal RNA", at positions 524 to 777 of the family's 1533-position model. The record is from RNAcentral.
UACAGAGGGUGCAAGCGUUAAUCGGAAUUACUGGGCGUAAAGCGAGCGUAGGUGGCUUGAUAAGUCAGAUGUGAAAUCCCCGGGCUUAACCUGGGAACUGCAUCUGAUACUGUUAGGCUAGAGUAGGUGAGAGGAAGGUAGAAUUCCAGGUGUAGCGGUGAAAUGCGUAGAGAUCUGGAGGAAUACCGAUGGCGAAGGCAGCCUUCUGGCAUCAUACUGACAUUGAGGUUCGAAAGCGUGGGUAGCAAACAGGA